Molecule: non-coding RNA, 203 nt
Organism: Pelobates cultripes (western spadefoot toad)
Lineage: Eukaryota; Metazoa; Chordata; Amphibia; Anura; Pelobatidae
Source: the annotation of a GenBank genome assembly
GAAUCGCACUUGGCCUAGAGGAAAUAACAAUAAAUAUCCUGAUUGGGAUCCUCGUAUAGAGACAAUGUGAGAAUUAUUUUAUUAUAGCUUAGGUGUAGUGUAAAGGACCACUAUAGUGCCAGGAAAACAUACUCGUCCCCCUCCCGCCGGGCUCUGGGGAGAGGAAGGGGUUAAACUUACCUCUUUUCCAGCGCCGGGCGGGG